RNAcentral lists this ribosomal RNA (831 nucleotides) under uncultured Bacteroidota bacterium. RNAcentral describes it as "bacterial SSU rRNA". It matches the Rfam family "Bacterial small subunit ribosomal RNA", at positions 56 to 888 of the family's 1533-position model. Lineage: Bacteria; Pseudomonadati; Bacteroidota. The record is from RNAcentral.
UGCAAGUAGAACGGUAACAGUCCUUCGGGAGCUGACGAGUUGCGAACGGGUGCGUAACGCGUAUGCAACCUACCUAUAACUGAGGGAUAGCCCAUAGAAAUGUGGAUUAAUACCUCAUAACAACUAAAGAUGGCAUCAUCUUAAGUUUAAAACUCCGGUGGUUAUAGAUGGGCAUGCGUGACAUUAGCUAGUUGGUGAGGUAACUGCUCACCAAGGCAACGAUGUCUAGGGGGUUCUGAGAGGAUGAUCCCCCACACUGGUACUGAGACACGGACCAGACUCCUACGGGAGGCAGCAGUGAGGAAUAUUGCGCAAUGGAGGAAACUCUGACGCAGCCAUGCCGCGUGCAGGAUGACUGCCCUAUGGGUUGUAAACUGCUUUUAUAUAGGAAGAACUACAGAUACGUGUAUUUGUUUGACGGUACUAUACGAAUAAGGACCGGCUAACUCCGUGCCAGCAGCCGCGGUAAUACGGAGGGUCCAAGCGUUAUCCGGAUUUAUUGGGUUUAAAGGGUCCGUGGGCGGGUCAUUAAGUCAGUGGUGAAAUCCUACAGCUCAACUGUAGAACUGCCAUUGAAACUGGUGACCUUGAAUAUAAUUGAAGUAGGCGGAAUGUGUCAUGUAGCGGUGAAAUGCUUAGAUAUGCCACAGAACACCGAUUGCGAAGGCAGCUUACUAAGUUAUUAUUGACGCUGAGGGACGAAAGCGUGGGUAGCGAACAGGAUUAGAUACCCUGGUAGUCCACGCCGUAAACGAUGUAUACUCGUUGCUAGCGAUACACAGUUAGUGACCAAGCGAAAGUAUUAAGUAUACCACUUGGGGAGUACGAUCG